AGCGCUGCCACAGCAAUGUGCUAUUAGAUCGAUUGAUCUUAGAGGUUUCCGGCCUCUGCACAGCCAGUGGUUUCUUCCUCCGGCCUAUGGCACCGCUAGAAAAUCCUCCAGACCGACUCAGCCCUUGAAGAACAGAUCGAGAUUGAGGAGGAGCAAGAGAUUGCACGAACUAUCGCGGAUUAUUGGGGAAGAUCUUGCGUUGGGAGCUCGACCGCAAUUCUGCCUAGCUGCUCUAGAUUUGCAAGUCGAGCGUUCAAACGGAGAGUGCUCAUGAAAUUGAGCUCCGUCUAUAAAUUCAAUCCUUUAUGGGCUCCGACCAAUGUGAGUGCCACGUCUGCAUUUGACAAGGUGAUGCCGCGAUUCAAAUUUCUGGCGCUUGGAUUCCCGGUGCCUCAACAUGGGUAAUACCAUAUGGAUUGAAAUAUCACAUAUUGAAUGAUUUUGGAACAGCUUAUACACAACAAGGGAACUCUUUUGAUUAUGAUCAUGAAAUUAUUUUCUAAUAAAGCAUAUAUGUAUAUAUACACAUUUGUGGGCUCAGCUGGAGGCAUUCACAAUAUACAAAUUGAUUUCCUUGUCCUGAUUUUAAUCUUGGAGUCCC
This 601-nucleotide long non-coding RNA is filed under the name Selaginella moellendorffii. RNAcentral's name for it is "long non-coding RNA (SMOE_LNC001378)". The record is from RNAcentral. Lineage: Eukaryota; Viridiplantae; Streptophyta; Lycopodiopsida; Selaginellales; Selaginellaceae.